This 508-nucleotide ribosomal RNA is filed under the name uncultured bacterium. RNAcentral describes it as "bacterial SSU rRNA". It matches the Rfam family "Bacterial small subunit ribosomal RNA", at positions 28 to 528 of the family's 1533-position model. The record is from RNAcentral.
GACGAACGCUGGCGGCGUGGAUUAGGCAUGCAAGUCGAACGGUAUCAUCCUUUCGGGGGUGAGAGAGUGGCGAACUGGUGAGUAACACGUAGGUUAUCUACCCUCAAGACGGGGACAACCCAGGGAAACUUGGGCUAAUACCGGAUGUGAGCAACUUUUAGUUGUUUGAAAGGUGGCGUAAGCUGUCGCUUGGGGAUGAGCCUGCGUCCUAUUAGUUAGUUGGUGAGGUAACGGCUCACCUAGGCAAUGAUAGGUAGGCGGCCUUAACGGGUGGUCGCCCACACUGGGAUUGAGAUACGGCCCAGACUCCUACGGGAGGCAGCAGUCGAGAAUAGUCUACAAUGGUCGGAAGACUGAUAGUGCGACGCCGCGUGAACGAUGAAUCCCUUCGGGGUGUAAAGUUCUUUUAUAUGUGAGCAGUGCUUCUUAUAUUAACAGUAUGGGGAGAGAGAUAUUAGCAUAUGAAUAAGCAACGGCUAACUCCGUGCCAGCCAGCCGCGGUAAACGC